RNAcentral lists this transfer RNA (58 nucleotides) under Apaloderma vittatum (bar-tailed trogon). It matches the Rfam family "tRNA", at positions 8 to 63 of the family's 71-position model. From Rfam's summary of the family: Transfer RNA (tRNA) molecules are approximately 80 nucleotides in length. Their secondary structure includes four short double-helical elements and three loops (D, anti-codon, and T loops). The record is from Rfam by way of RNAcentral. Lineage: Eukaryota; Metazoa; Chordata; Aves; Trogoniformes; Trogonidae.
UAGCUCAGUCAGUUGAGCAUAGCACUAACAACGCUAAGGUCACAGGUUCAAUUCCUGU